This 29-nucleotide non-coding RNA is filed under the name Mus musculus (house mouse). Lineage: Eukaryota; Metazoa; Chordata; Mammalia; Rodentia; Muridae. The record is from RNAcentral.
UCCCAAGGAAGGGCUUCAGAGCUCAUGGU